GACAGCCUUUCGUGUGCGAUUCUGUGGAGUUUGAGGAGCUUAACACCUUCAUGCUUUGCAUAUUCGUGCUCUUGGGUGUACUUGCCCGUGUGGUUGGUUAACAUCAAUUUCGGGCACCAUAAAAUGACUGGAGGAAUGUAGCUUUGAUCUUGUAUUGAAGUGUUAUAGCCUUCGGUAGAUGUGGUGAUCGAGAUUGAGGAUUGCAACGGAUACCUUUCGGGGCUACCUGUCUGAUCUCUGAUCGUUGCUUUGGUGCUGAAAGCGUGCUUAUAGUUAUCAAAGUCGAUGGUCAAUAGGUUAGAAUGGGUUAAAUUCGUUAAGGAUGUUGACGUAAUGGCUUU
RNAcentral lists this ribosomal RNA (341 nucleotides) under uncultured Glomeromycotina. RNAcentral's name for it is "eukaryotic LSU rRNA". Lineage: Eukaryota; Fungi; Glomeromycota. The record is from RNAcentral.